Molecule: ribosomal RNA, 429 nt
Filed under: Gemmatimonadota bacterium
Lineage: Bacteria; Pseudomonadati; Gemmatimonadota
Description: Gemmatimonadetes bacterium partial 16S ribosomal RNA
Rfam family: Bacterial small subunit ribosomal RNA
Source: RNAcentral
UAGGGAAUCUUCGGCAAUGGACGAAAGUCUGACCGAGCAACGCCGCGUGAGUGAAGAAGGUUUUCGGAUCGUAAAACUCUGUUGUUAGAGAAGAACAAGGACGUUAGUAACUGAACGUCCCCUGACGGUAUCUAACCAGAAAGCCACGGCUAACUACGUGCCAGCAGCCGCGGUAAUACGUAGGUGGCAAGCGUUGUCCGGAUUUAUUGGGCGUAAAGCGAGCGCAGGCGGUUUCUUAAGUCUGAUGUGAAAGCCCCCGGCUCAACCGGGGAGGGUCAUUGGAAACUGGGAGACUUAAGUGCAGAAGAGGAGAGUGGAAUUCCAUGUGUAGCGGUGAAAUGCGUAGAUAUAUGGAGGAACACCAGUGGCGAAGGCGGCUAUCUGGUCUGUAACUGACGCUGAGGCUCGAGAGCGUGGGGAGCAAACAGG